RNAcentral lists this small RNA (28 nucleotides) under Bombyx mori (domestic silkworm). RNAcentral describes it as "ovarian small RNA-20540". Lineage: Eukaryota; Metazoa; Arthropoda; Insecta; Lepidoptera; Bombycidae. The record is from RNAcentral.
UACCACCGGAAGCCGAAAGUAUGGCAGA